CAGGAGGGUUAAGCCCGGGAUGAUUAGACAAAUGUAGGGCAGAUAUCUGCGGCUUCAGAGGCAGGCUGAGCCGCUGUCACCGAGGAAUGCUCUGCAGCAUUAAAGAUACCUGUCUCACACUGAGCAUGCUCACUCUGCGGUUCAGUUUCUACUUAAAUGUUCUCCCUUUUUCCAGUGCAUUCGACCUCUCAGGGCCACCACACUGCAGCAGCACUACUAGAGGAUUAAAAAAGGUUACACGAAUGGUGUGAUAAGACCCCCUCUGACUUAUCUGUUGACCAUCUGGAGUGGGAUCGACCCCACAGCUUGGAUAAUUAUGGACUGAACUGUGUAAGUAUUGCAGUUCUAACACUAACAUAG
Oreochromis niloticus (Nile tilapia) is the source of this 360-nucleotide long non-coding RNA. RefSeq lists it as uncharacterized. Lineage: Eukaryota; Metazoa; Chordata; Actinopteri; Cichliformes; Cichlidae. The transcript has 3 exons. The record is from RefSeq and is a predicted model, not a curated record.